AUUGAACGCUGGCGGCAUGCUUUACACAUGCAAGUCGAACGGUAACAGCACUUCGGUGGCUGACGAGUGGCGAACGGGUGAGUAAUGUAUCGGAACGUGCCCAGUAGUGGGGGAUAACUACUCGAAAGAGUGGCUAAUACCGCAUUGAGAUCUCUGGAUGAAAGCGGGGGACCGUAAGGCCUCGCGCUACUGGAGCGGCCGAUAUCAGAUUAGGUUGUUGGUGGGUAAAGGCCUACCAAGCCUGCGAUCUGUAGCUGGUCUGAGAGGACGACCAGCCACACUGGGACUGAGACACGGCCCAGACUCCUACGGGAGGCAGCAGUGGGGAAUUUUGGACAAUGGACGCAAGUCUGAUCCAGCAAUGCCGCGUGCAGGACGAAGGCUCGGUUGUAACUAGCUUGUUACGUACGAAAGACUCUUCUAUACAGAGGGUCGAUGACGGUACCGGUAACGGAAGUAAGACGACCGGACCGUAACCUAACGUUACGCCACGCAGCCGACC
RNAcentral lists this ribosomal RNA (502 nucleotides) under uncultured bacterium. RNAcentral describes it as "bacterial SSU rRNA". It matches the Rfam family "Bacterial small subunit ribosomal RNA", at positions 30 to 543 of the family's 1533-position model. The record is from RNAcentral.